AAAAAAAAACCCUUGAUCCUCACAGCCAAAUAGGCCCUUAACGUCUACAGACCAAACGACCUUCUUCUUCAACACAAAACGAUGCCCUUUUCUUCUGAUUUCCACAACAAUGACCGACCAAACGACCCCUUCCACUCAUUUUCUCAAUCGUACGCAUACAGCCUGGCACCAACGGCUCUAUUGGAUACAAUUUUUAUUUGUUUGUGACUGGUUGGUACCAUUUGCUUCGCUGUCAUUAUUCUUAGUACUAUACUUGCAAAAAUCUAGGGAUUUUUGGUACGAAUUGGGUAUGUUUUGGUGGAAUCUGUGGUCUUAUUUUUUUUGAUUUCAAAAUUUGGAUAAGGUAAGGAUUUUGGGGGGAAACAAGGGAAAAAAUGAAGAAUCCCACAUCGGUUGAGCAGAAUUUGGGGUCAUCCUCUUGGUUCUAUAAAUAGAAACCAUGCUUAUUGCAUUUAGGGGGAUGAACAAUGGGUUGAGACCGAAAUUUUUGCUCUUUAUAUCACAAAAAGGGUUUUUUAUAACCCUAAGAGUGAGAACACUAGAUUUCGAGGACGUUCUCACUCAAGUAUAAUUUUUGCAAGUCGUUUCCAUUCAUUGGAAAUUGAUUCGAUGUGAAAAGAUUUCAUCGACACUCGUUGCCCCCGUCACUGCUCGUCAAAAAGCAUAAAUUAGAGGGUUCUCAAAAUCCCAAAUGGUCCUUCUGAGCUGCUGCUGAACUCAAGUUCAUGUUGAGAUUGUUGUUUGUGCCUUUGGACCAAGUCUUGAGCCAAUUUGUGGCUUCAUGCUUGGCUGCACCAGAAGAAAGGUGUUCUUUGCUAUACAUAACUCCUGAUGCUACUGCAUCUUGAGACAUGACUGAUUUUGGCAUUUGUAACCCCAUCCCAAGGCUAUACACAGAUGUUGUUUGUGGUUGUUGUUUUCCCUAGGAUAAUCUGGUUCAUUUUGAAUGUGUUACUGAUCAUCAUUUUGCUGCCUUCUUUAAAGAGCAUUCCAAUGCCAUGAUUGAAGCUGACUCUUACACUUUGUGUGAUUGAGCUCACAGAAUCAUAAAUCUCUGGUUUUGAAAAUACGACAUUUUGGGGAAAACAACUAUGAAGUAUUAGGAAAGGAAUUAUGCCUUGGAGUAGUAAAUAUUUAACUUUUGAAAACGAGGAAGAUAUGGAAACAUUUAUGAAGCCAUAGCAUCAGAAUCAUGCCUUUAGAAGCUCAAUAACAUUAUAAGGAUCACGAAAUUCAUGGACUUCUAGCAUUUGCGGAAACAAUGAUAUUAUGAGUACGAUACAAAGAUUUAUAACGAAAGAAUCAUGCCUUUAGAAAGAAGGGGACUAGCCUUAACAUACCUGGAAGAUAAUUUAUCGACUUCCAACUUACUUCCAGUUUUGCAAUUCACUUAAGAUCAUUGAUAGCCUCGUAAUAUACAUAUACAACCAUUCAUACUAUUAUUAGAAUCAUCCUCAUACGCUCGUCUCGAAACUUUAAUUAAAAUCCUUUUAGAUUCUGUCGAAAUUCGGGCAGCAUCUCCCCUGUUUAUAUGCCUAGCCCGAAAUCAAAAUAUCAAUAACCAAUCAACAACAACAAUACCAACGUCAUCAACACCAUUAUCCAUACCAAUAUACUUCCUAAAACAUCCCACACGAUGUCUUCUAAAUUUCUCAACUAACCAACUUGUGAUACGACUAUUUAAUAACUUUAUUUCCGUAAAGAAGCCGAAAUUAAUACCAACAACAUCCUCAACAUCCUACAAGAUAAAUAUAUAUAUUUUCAUCUAAAUUUCUCUUCAACCCUCAAUCCAUAAAUCAACAACAUCAACACAACAACCAUAACCUCUAUUCUUGAAAUUAUUCCUUAAUUCAUAUUGAUAAAGAAAGAGAUUCAACAAUUCAUACCUUAUUUUUAUGAAGGUAGCAAAAUCUUCAUCAUUUUCUUGUCCCCAAGAUAACUCCAACACCAAACGAAAUUAUAAUCGCGUCUACGCGUUGCCCGGACCUCGAUUGAUAUUCCGUAGCUUGAAAUUUUACUCAAAAUUUUCAAUUCUAUAUGAGAUUUAAGAGCCCUUUGAUGGCUGAACUUUCUGGAAAUUUUCAGAGGUUUUUUUGAUGAAGAAAAAUGGGGGUUUGCCCCUUUUUAUAAGAGCUGAGGCGGCGUCACUGUAGCUACAGUACUGUAGCAGUACUGUAGCACCCGGUUUCUGCGUCGACAGCUCAGUUUGUAACGUCUAUAAUUCUCUACUCCGAUGUUCUAUCUACGAGAGGUUUGUUGCAUUAGAAACUAGACUCGACGAACUUCAUUUUAGGCUUUUGAAAAGCCUUAAAACUCCAAAUAUACAUGGAGAUAUACCCCUCCAAAGUUGACUAAAAAUCUGCCCAGCAUUUCUCAAAUUUUCGUCGAACUUAUUUUCUUCAAUUUUCUUGACCUCGAAAUCUUCCGAAACUCUCCAUACAUGAUAUUUAUCAUUCAUUAUACUAAUAAUGGCCAUGUUCUCGUGUUUCAAAAUAGUCUUUCCCGAUUACGACUUGCGAGAUCAUAAUCAUCCUUUACUUCAUUGUUACAUACUUUCCAUGGCUUGUACCUUCCGAAACAUCAUGGGAUGUCUCCGACACUCCAUUACUACGGUGAUGUACAUGUCAUGCUCAUGCUCUGAAAGUGCGGGGUGUAACAUCCGGAAAGGUUCUAUCCCACGGUGGGCAAUGAUGAUCAUAGUCUAGUUAUAAAAUAGGAACCAACAUGCGCUUGGCGAGGCAAUAGAAUGACUGAAGGGUUGCUAUUUCGCAGCCAUGACAUGUUCAGGGGUCCUUUUUCCCAUAUUUGAAAGAAGCAUGAUUCUGAGCCUUUAGUAAUCAAAGCUCCCACAUUUUGAUGCGAAACCGAGGGAUAUUAUAUUUUCAUAAACGUCAACCCGUGGGGUGGCGUAUCCUUUUUACUAAUCAUUCUCGUUUCUAUUCUUGCGAGGUACGAAUAAACAAGUUCAGGGAAUACUACAAGGACGAAUAUUGCACAGUUGGAGCAUACAUAUGGAAUCCAAGCAAUAUGGAAUGACAAGAAGAGAAGUAGUAGGAGACAAGGAAAAGACUUGGACAUUUGGAGCUUUCAGACGAAGAAUAAAGAAAGCACAGAAUUGCAAAAAAAGGUCUAAGAAUGCGAGGAGAUAGGCUUAUCCGAUUAACCUUUCUCCACCUUCAUUCUCUCCCUCUCUUUAGUUAUUUUGAAAAUAUUAUGUUUACUUGUUUUAUUUAAGUAUUGUUGGAACCUUUAUAGAUUAGAACUUAUGAUUUAGGGUUGCUAAAACCGAUUUUCAAAGCCAUGUAUAAAACAGAUGUGAAAUACGAAUUACUCUUAAUAUAAGCUUGGUUUUCAUAA
Molecule: long non-coding RNA, 3357 nt
Organism: Lycium barbarum (goji berry)
Lineage: Eukaryota; Viridiplantae; Streptophyta; Magnoliopsida; Solanales; Solanaceae
Exons: 2
Source: RefSeq, a predicted model, not a curated record